RNAcentral lists this ribosomal RNA (301 nucleotides) under uncultured bacterium. Its description in RNAcentral is "partial 16S ribosomal RNA". It matches the Rfam family "Bacterial small subunit ribosomal RNA", at positions 509 to 809 of the family's 1533-position model. The record is from RNAcentral.
CAGUCGCCGCGGUAAUACAGAGGGUGCAAGCGUUAAUCGGAAUUACUGGGCGUAAAGCGCGCGUAGGUGGUUCGCCAAGUUGGAUGUGAAAUCCCCGGGCUCAACCUGGGAACUGCAUCCAAAACUGGCGAGCUAGAGUAUGGUAGAGGGUGGUGGAAUUUCCUGUGUAGCGGUGAAAUGCGUAGAUAUAGGAAGGAACAUCAGUGGCGAAGGCGACCACCUGGACUGAUACUGGCACUGAGGUGCGAAAGCGUGGGGAGCAAACAGGAUUAGAUACCCGUGUAGUCCCUGUCUCUUAUAA